This 501-nucleotide ribosomal RNA is filed under the name uncultured bacterium. RNAcentral's name for it is "bacterial SSU rRNA". It matches the Rfam family "Bacterial small subunit ribosomal RNA", at positions 903 to 1397 of the family's 1533-position model. The record is from RNAcentral.
AAAUGAAUAGACGGGGACCCGCACAAGCGGAGGAGCAUGUGGUUUAAUUCGAUGCUACGCGAGGAACCUUACCUGGGUUUGACAUGUAAGUAGUAGGAACCUGAAAGGGCAACGACCCGUAUAAAUCGGGAGCUUACACAGGUGCUGCAUGGCUGUCGUCAGCUCGUGUCGUGAGAUGUUGGGUUAAGUCCCGCAACGAGCGCAACCAUCGUCCUUUGUUGCUAACCCGCAAGGGAGCACUCUAAGGAGACUGCCAGUUUUUUAACUGGAGGAAGGAGGAGAUGACGUCAAGUCAGUAUGGCCCUUACGCCCAGGGCUACACACGUGCUACAAUGGUCGUUACAAAGGGUUGCCAAACCGCGAGGUGGAGCUAAUCCCAAAAAGACGGCCCCAGUCCAGAUCGGAGGCUGCAAUCCGCCUCCGUGAAGUUGGAUUCGCUAGUAACCGCAGAUCAGCCAUGCUGCGGUGAAUACGUUCCCGGGUCUUGUACACACCGCCCGU